UACCAGAGGGUCAUCUCCUAGUUGGCGA
RNAcentral lists this small RNA (28 nucleotides) under Bombyx mori (domestic silkworm). Its description in RNAcentral is "ovarian small RNA-20555". Lineage: Eukaryota; Metazoa; Arthropoda; Insecta; Lepidoptera; Bombycidae. The record is from RNAcentral.